Molecule: long non-coding RNA, 896 nt
Filed under: Homo sapiens (human)
Lineage: Eukaryota; Metazoa; Chordata; Mammalia; Primates; Hominidae
Description: long intergenic non-protein coding RNA 2997
Source: RNAcentral
CCACAGCUGAGCCGUGUGAAGAGGCUGACAGCGGCGUGGCCACCACCCAGGAUGGAGAGAAAGGCACUGUGAGGUGUUAAUGGAAAAAUCCAACUUCCUUUUCUUCCAAAGAUGAUGACUGAAACCAAAGUGGAGCUUUCCCUGAAACUUUCUGAGAUGCAAGUGGGUGUUAAAUGGUUCAGCAAAGCCAAGCCAGAGCAGUUGGUGUGCUUUGAAAUGAAGCAACAUUGGAAAAAUGAAAUCUACUGAAAGAUCACUACGUGUUUCAAAGGGACCGAAUAAAGCAAACUCCUUUGGCUGCCUCAAAUACUGGCCAGGCCUUCAGACUCAGACUGGAACUGCACCGUUGGCUCUCCUGGGUGGGUCUCCAGCUUGCUGACCACAGACCUUGAGACUUCUCAGCCUUUAGAAUCAUGGAAGCCAAUUCCUUAUAAUAAUAUAUAUCCUUUUCCUAGUCUGUGGACUUUUCCCAGCUCCAGACAGACAACCUUCUAUAAACUCCAGGAUGCUCCAUCAAUGCCGUCUGGACUCUACAGAUUUUGACCCUGAAGUAAAGUAGGAAAGGCUAUGAGGACAUGUUAAAUGUUGUACUACCGCCUGAAGCCUUUUCUUCUUUAAAUUUUUCAACAAGAGUUGAAUGCACACGUGGAGCUUAAUUGGACAACAACUUUUCUCCUCUUCUGUGGGAUCCCGUCAGUGCUUUAAGCAAUGAGAAGGCAGCUCAUUUCCAAGUUUGUGUGGUAAAUUUGGGGCAAGUGGGAGAAAAGAAAGAAAGGCUGAGUCUUAUAGGGUGUGAUUUGGUUCUAGACAUGCUUAUGUUACUUUUUAUAAGAUUAUCCAUUUGACUAGAUUUCUUUCCUGCUGACAAAAGAGGCAAUUUCUACAUAUAAAAUAAA